AACGAACGCUGGCGGCGUGCCUAACACAUGCAAGUCGAACGGAUUGAAGGGGCUUGCUCCUUCAGUUAGUGGCGCACGGGUGAGUAACGCGUAGAUAAUCUGCCUGAUGAUCCGGGAUAACAGUUCGAAAGGACUGCUAAUACCGGAUAAGCCCACGUGGUCUUUGGACCGUGCGGGAAAAGAGGGGGACCUUCGGGCCUCUUGCCAUCGGAUGUGCCCAGAUGGGAUUAGCUUGUAGGUGAGGUAACGGCUCACCUAGGCGACGAUCCCUAGCUGGUCUGAGAGGAUGACCAGCCACACUGGAACUGAGACACGGUCCAGACUCCUACGGGAGGCAGCAGUGGGGAAUAUUGCACAAUGGGCGCAAGCCUGAUGCAGCCAUGCCGCGUGUAUGAAGAAGGCCUCGGGUUGU
RNAcentral lists this ribosomal RNA (412 nucleotides) under uncultured bacterium. RNAcentral describes it as "bacterial SSU rRNA". It matches the Rfam family "Bacterial small subunit ribosomal RNA", at positions 29 to 426 of the family's 1533-position model. The record is from RNAcentral.